Molecule: ribosomal RNA, 277 nt
Filed under: Clostridioides difficile
Lineage: Bacteria; Bacillati; Bacillota; Clostridia; Peptostreptococcales; Peptostreptococcaceae
Description: partial 23S ribosomal RNA
Rfam family: Bacterial large subunit ribosomal RNA
Source: RNAcentral
CACCACAGAAGGUAAUAGUCCUGUAUGUUAAACGAGAAGACUUUAGAUAUGAUCCAGAGUACCACGGGACACGUGAAACCCUGUGGGAAGCAGGAGGGACCACCCUCCAAGGCUAAAUACUACCUAGUGACCGAUAGCGUAUAGUACCGGGAGGGAAAGGUGAAAAGAACCCCGGGAGGGGAGUGAAAUAGAACCUGAAACCCUGCACUUACAAGCUGUGGAAGCACAUUUCUUGUGUGACCGCGUACUUUUUGUAGAACGGGCCAACGAGUUACGU